GCUUCUUUUUCCACCGGAGCUUGCUCCACCGGAAAAAGAAGAGUGGCGAACGGGUGAGUAACACGUGGGUAACCUGCCCAUCAGAAGGGGAUAACACUUGGAAACAGGUGCUAAUACCGUAUAACAAUCAAAACCGCAUGGUUUUGAUUUGAAAGGCGCUUUCGGGUGUCGCUUUUGGAUGGACCCGCGGCGUAUUAGCUAGUUGGUGAGGUAACGGCUCACCAAGGCAAUGAUACGUAGCCGAACUGAGAGGUUGAUCGGCCACAUUGGGACUGAGACACGGCCCAAACUCCUACGGGAGGCAGCAGUAGGGAAUCUUCCACAAUGGACGCAAGUCUGAUGGAGCAACGCCGCGUGAGUGAAGAAGGCCUUCGGGUCGUAAAACUCUGUUGUUGGAGAAGAAUGGUCGGCAGAGUAACUGUUGUCGGCGUGACGGUAUCCAACCAGAAAGCCACGGCUAACUACGUGCCAGCAGCCGCGGUAAUACGUAGGUGGCAAGCGUUAUCCGGAUUUAUUGGGCGUAAAGCGAGCGCAGGCGGUUUUUUAAGUCUGAUGUGAAAGCCCUCGGCUUAACCGAGGAAGUGCAUCGGAAACUGGGAAACUUGAGUGCAGAAGAGGACAGUGGAACUCCAUGUGUAGCGGUGAAAUGCGUAGAUAUAUG
This 661-nucleotide ribosomal RNA is filed under the name uncultured Bacilli bacterium. RNAcentral describes it as "bacterial SSU rRNA". It matches the Rfam family "Bacterial small subunit ribosomal RNA", at positions 68 to 700 of the family's 1533-position model. Lineage: Bacteria; Bacillati; Bacillota; Bacilli. The record is from RNAcentral.